AACAUUCUUACAUCAGGGCUCCUCCCGCACCCCUACUCUUCCACCCCUCCCUGUUCCUAACUCCCACUCCCCGCCAGCCCUUUUCCUUAAAGCCGCAGUCGCCCACGUCUGCACGGGCGGGAGCCCCACCGCGCCACACCGCCACCGUGGUCCCCGUCUCUCCCUGGCCCCGCACGCGGCAGCUCUCUCUCUCUAUAGCUCCUGGCUUUGAAAAUGGAAAUGCGUUUGAAAGUAAAGAAAUGCGCGCAGGCGCGAGCAGAAAAGCGAAACUUGUUGCUCUCAAAGGCGAGAGAACAGUUCUUCUGAAGGUGUUAGAAAGCUUGAAGAGCAUCUCCAAGGCGUCCUCUGGGCUUUGUUUGCUAAACCAGCGCGCGAGACCCUGUGCUCCGGGUUCUGCAAUGCCGAGAAAGGUCUUGCAUCCGAGAGCCAGUCUUGCCACGGGUCACGGCCACAACAGCGGUGGAGACGAGGAUGGAAACGGCCAUGGAGAAGUCCGUGGCCCGAGAGCCUCGGCAGAGUCCGCCGCGCUGCAGGGAAGGUCUGAAUGGAACUUAAUCCUCUGAAAGUGGUAACACACCGAGGUCAUUUGCAAUGUGAACGUGCUACAUUGGACGGGAGAAUUCUGACACUUAAGCCCCGCAAUUUAAAAUAAAUUGAAAAUGUUUUAAAAUAGUCUUUCAUUUGACUAGGCAACCGUGUCCACAAAUUUGUUAGUCUUAGACCAACGCCCUCUUUCGGCAGGAACUUGCAGCCGACUUGUAUCCCCGAUGACACCUCCUCAGACGCUGAGUUUGCUUUUUGUUUGUUUGUUUGUUUGUUUUUUCUUUUGUUUUGUUUGACGCUGAGGCCCCA
This 852-nucleotide long non-coding RNA is filed under the name Camelus dromedarius (Arabian camel). Its description in RNAcentral is "lncRNA (ENSCDRG00005002148.1)". The record is from RNAcentral. Lineage: Eukaryota; Metazoa; Chordata; Mammalia; Artiodactyla; Camelidae.